Molecule: ribosomal RNA, 406 nt
Filed under: uncultured bacterium
Lineage: Bacteria
Description: partial 16S ribosomal RNA
Rfam family: Bacterial small subunit ribosomal RNA
Source: RNAcentral
AUUGAACGCUGGCGGCAGGCCUAACACAUGCAAGUCGAACGAGUGGCGGACGGGUGAGUAAUGUCUGGGAAACUGCCCGAUGGAGGGGGAUAACUACUGGAAACGGUAGCUAAUACCGCAUACCAUCGGAGGUGACCAGAUUGGAUUAGCUAGUAGGUGGGGUAAAGGCCCACCUAGGCGACGAUCCCUCGCUGGGCUGAGAGGAGUACCAGCCACACGGUAACUGAGACACGGUCCAGAUUCCUACGGGAGGCAGCAGUGGGGAAUAUUGCACAAUUGGCGCAAGCCUGAUGCAGCCAUGCCGCGUGUAUGAAGAAGGCCUUCGGGUUGUAAAGUACUUUCAGCGGGGAGGCGUUACCCGCAGAAGAAGCACCGGCUAACUCCGUGCCAGCAGCCGCGGUAAUAC